UAAUGCACAUGAAAUAUGUCCAUGCAUAUCUAAACUAGUCACUAAUUACUGGUUAUAAUUAAAAUUAGUAACUCAGCCUUCCUAUAUGGCUAGAGCUCAGAUCACUAACAAUAAAAGAAUUUGAAGCCCUAUGUCAUUCUUUGGGUUACCUUUAUAAUAGCAGUAUAUAAUUUUAGUUUGUAAUAAACUGCCAUAACUUCUUUUUGCUUUUAAUGAUUACUUUACAAUGUGUUUUACUGGCCAGAGACAUGGCUCAGUGGGGAAAGGCCCUUGCUUCAAGCCUGAUGACUUGAGUUUGGUUCCUAAGAACUACUUGGUAGGAGAGAACUGACUUCCUCAAGUUGUCCUUUGACUUCACCCAUAAACAAUAAAUAAAUGUAGUAAAAUAUGCUUUAUAUCCACUAUAAAAAUAGUAGGGGUCUAGAAGACAGAGUCACUCACUAAUGCCACAAUAUUUUAUGGUGCUAGAUUCAAUGCCCUUGAGACGGUUAGUAAACCAAAUGCAUGAUCAAUAUUUCCACUUUGAAAGAUCGGUAAAUCAUUAUGAAUGUUAAUAUGUCUGUAGGGCUAACUGAGAUUUGGAGUACAUAUGUAACAGCCUAUUUAAAUAUCAAUAUUGGCUAAUAAUAAUAUUGGACAUAUGUCGAUAUUCAGAAAGUCAAAUAUUACAAUACCAAAGUAAAAUGGUGUGACCAUGACUCUGGAAUAUAUAUCUUCUCCAUUCUCAUUUCUAUCAAGGGCAAAUUCUCAAAAACCCACCUCUCUAGAUACCAUGCUUAAUCCUUAUAGUUUAUCUUUAUUUUUUCUCAAUUAAAGAGAAAAGUUUGUCUUCAUCUCUAUAGUAAGUAUUCUCACCUGCAGAGAGCCUACCAUAAAACCUAAAAGAAGGUAUGAAGCAAGCACAUUAAAAACAUAGAGAUUAAAUAUGUUUUGAAUGCAUUGGUAUGUUAUAAAAGAAAAAAAAGUGCCUGCUGCAACAUAAAUACAAGACUAAGUCCCAGGUCUCCAACUUCCUUAGAAACUGAACUGGAAGAUGCAAUGAUAAAUCUGUAUUCCAACUGUCCAGUCUCCAACGGUAAGCACACGGGGCUCUCCCAACUGGAGCUUUUUGUGAUGGAGGUCACUGGAGCUCCAGCUAGCAUCUUCUCUACGUCUGCUCAUGCCUGACCCUCAGCAUCUAUGCUACAUUCAAGCUGAAGGAUGAUUGGUUAUGGCUUUGGUAAAUAUAAAAUACGUCAGGGAGCUGUCCCAGACACUGGAUGUCUCAGAGCUGUAUUUUUGUUGCUCCAUCAUGAAUAUAUGUGGAUAGACAUUUCCUUUUUUUUUUUUCAGUUUUAUGAGAUCCUUACCCAUGUUUUUAAUUAAGCUACACCACUUCUUCUCUGCAUUGGGUCCUACUAAAUGACAAAUGUUUCUAGCAUGCUUCCCACCCCCAUUUCUGUUCUGCUGUAGAAGGUCUGUCUUGUAAGGGUGGUCUGUUAGUGAUAACAAAUCUCUGUACAUGGAAAGACUGAGGCGAUAAGAGAGCCAGAAGUCCCUAUAUUUAGCCAUAUACUUCAGGAAAGUCAAGAAUCGGAAAAAGUCAGCAAACAAUCAAGGCCCAGCUGACUGCAGCUGUUUAGUUUCCAGGGAGACAAAAGACAAGAUCAACAGAACUUGUAGCCCUGUGAAAUGUCUGCAGAGAAGAGGGGCAUGUCACAUCAAGGAUGGGCUGCCAGGGUUCUAUUAAACAGAUAUUUAGUAUUCCCCCUCGUUCUCGGGGAAGCCUAGAGGAGCGAGGGCUAACUUAAGGACAAAGACACAGUGGUUUUGUUUACCAUCCUGACAAUUAGUUGUUCUGAACCACUGGUUAUUUUAAAUACCUCCAUUACAAAUUAGAUAUAGUAUGCAUUAUAUGUUAUACUAUACUACUUAUUAGUUCAUUAUUUCAAGAAGAAUCUCUGAGAGGAGCCUUAUGGUUUAGACUUCACAGGAGUAAGUGUACCACAUGGAUACAUCACAGCCUACACCUGGAUUCCCGAACCAAUGCUCAGUUAAGCUUUUAGUGAUGUCCCUUAAUACUCUGCUCCCUGUGAGCUCUCAUUUCCUUACUCUAUCUCCUUCAUUCUCUGUUUUCACUGGGACGCACAUCACCAAUUUUCUUAUGUAUUCAGAAAUUAUGAUUCUCUUUUAGCCAACAUAGAUGCCUCAAGAGAGAACAUCUAAUAUUUUCUUACUUCUUGUUCUCCAAUGCCCAGGACAUUCAGUAGCUGUCUGUGUGUAUAAGGAUGAAUGUGUAUUAUAUGAGGUCACAAGAUACAUUCUGUCUGCACAUUGGUCUUUUGUUCUCGUCACCUAAACCAUGCAUUCCCAAUCCCGCACAUAGAAUUUUCAUGGGAAGAGUAGAAGUGUUUACUCAGCAAGUUCCCUGGGAUGCAUCUUUAGGAUGGUUUCAAGCUAAUUGUGCUUCAAUCCAUAUGUAGUAGGUCACACCUGCAAUCCCAGCAUUGUACAGGCUGAAGGAAACAGGAAGGCUGAAAGGUCAAGGAGAUCUAGGGUCUAGAAAGAUCCCAGACUCUCCUUGUUCCUUGUACAAUAGACUACUCUAUCAAUAAAACACCCCUGCAGAAAAAUCCUUGUGCAUUUAUCUUGAGUGGUAUUUGUACCAUCACUUCUAUAGUGUCUACAGUAGAAUAUCUAGAUGAAAGAAUAUGCACAACUUUUGUAUCAUUUGUUGCUAAAUUGAAAAAUAGUUUGCUAAAUUAUUUCUGAAGGAAAACUUACUAAAGUUCUGGUAAUCAUUUAUAACUUCAGUUCUCUACAACCCAACCAGCAUGUUUCACAAACUGUCUUCCUUGUCUGAUUGAUGAGAGCAAUGAUAAAGUGUAUUGUCGAUAUUUUGGUAACUUUAAAAAAAGAUUUAUUUUGUUUUAUAUAUGAGUAGUUUACUUGCAUGCACGUGUGUGCGUGCGUGUGCAUGUACAGGCACCAUGUGCAUACACCUGGUGUUCAAGGAGGUCAAAAGAAGGCAUCUGAUCCCCUGAAACUUGAGUUACAGAUGGUUAUGAUCCAGCAUGUUGGUUGGAAACUGAACCAAAGUCCUCUGCAAGAAUAAGCGCCCUGAACCACGGAGCCACCUCUCCAGCUGCUUGUGACUAUUUCUUCUAUAACUAUGAUCAAAGAUGAACUAAUUUUCCUCACAGGAUUCAAAAGCAUAUUUUUCUGCAACACUAUUAAUUUUUAACUCUGCCCAGUUUUUUUUCUAGGUUUAAAUUUGCAUUAGGCAUAACACACUAGUAUCUAGUUUUCCAUUUCUCCAAGCCUUUUCAUGGGUAUUUAAUUUAGUCUUUUAAACUUUAUAAAGGAAUCCAUUUAACAAGUGAUGAUAGCAGAGGCCCAUUUAACUUGCUUUCCCAGCUAGAACAUCUCACACAAAACUUCUGAUUACCAAUGUAGUGGUUAGUCCACUUUAUCUCAGGCCAGGUUGGAACCAUAACUUAAUGAGGAUGUGCUCAUGUGACUGCAGGUGUCUCCAAAGGUCAGAGGUGUCAGAUCCCUCUGCAGCUGGAGUUUAAGAUGAUUGUGGGUAGCUCAGCAUGGGACCAAACCCCAGCCCUCUGCUAAAGCAGUGCACACUAUUGCACACUCCCUAUCACCGAGGCUCUCUCUGGCACUGAGAGUAAGUAGUUUCUGGUAAGCAUUCUAUAUUUAUAUACAUCUGAAUAUAGCAUAUAUAACAGGUGGGUGAAAAGAGUUUUGGAUUAUAGAAUACACACCUUUAACAAAGAUCUUAUGUACUGACCACAGAAAGAAAACUAUUCCAUCACAUCCAAUUCUAAGAACUUCAUGUAGAUUCAACUUUGUGACCGAGAUGUGCUUAUAGACUUUUAUAUCUACCAAGUCUAGAUUAUAAAAAUGGACAAUAUUUACUAAUACUAAUGGAACUUGGUCAAGGCAUGUGCCUUUACUCUCCCUUGUUCUGAUUCCAAAUGUCUGCAACAGGCAGCACAUUUUUUCUAGACCAGAGCAAGAAACCUCUAACAAUGAGUGUUUGUCUGUCCCCUAACUGAUUUCUCUAGGUGGGUGGAGGAAAUUUUAAAAAUCCACCUAGUAUAAGCAUUCAUUCUUUUGCCCCAAAGCAACAUGAGUGUCUAGAAGUGCUGCCCUUCUCUGAUCCACAUCCCAUCUGAAAUACAGAAUCUGUGGAUGUCUAUCCAUGAAUAAAGUCUACAAAAAAAAACAUAAAAGAGCUUAAGUAUAUGUGUGAGGAAGACAUUCAGUUAGUCUUAGUGCUUUCAGGGGCUCCAGAAUGCCCCACUAUUGACCAAUCAUUAACCUGAGAGUGUUUAAGCUUAGCAGUGUAAAGAGAGACAGAACAAUGGGUGCAUCACCCUCACUAAUCAAAUUUAGCUUUAUACCCUUCCUCACUCUUUAUAUCCUUCCCAAACAAAACGUUACUCAUACAUAGACAGAGGCAGCAUGGAAUACCACAGGGAUUUCCCUGCAGUUAGUAGAAGCCACGAAAGGGGGUAAGCCUGACUGCAUAAAUACCUAUUAACCUGAAGAAAUUCUUUUCAAACUUUCUCUCUCUCUUUCUUUUUUUUUUUUAAGGAAGGAAAUAAGACUUAUUAUAAAGAGGCUUAAAUUUUCAAACCACCAAGAAAAAGCAAACUUUGAACUCUUACAUAAAUUCUAAGUGAUGCUCUUGAAUCCCAUCCUUUCUACCACCCACAAGAAGAUUAAGGACUGUGGACUUCCUGCUGGAGGAAGUAAUUGCUCAACUGCUUGGGAAUCUAUUGGAACCCUUUGUAGCAUUCGUGGGGACAUGCAGAUGCAAUUUGUCAAGUAUUCCUUUAUUACAUUGUGACUCAGAACUAGAACUCAGGUGCUUUGGGACCCCCUCCUUGCUAUGUUCCUCUUACAAAUGGUAAUCCGCUCCACCUCAGACAACUAUCUGAUACUUCCACUAAUGUUUUCCUAUUAAAUCCAGAACAUUUCAUUUUAGGCUUUUAUGUGAAUGUUUUCUUAGUUUGACACAGUUGCCAACCAGUACUUAGCACAAUUUAGGCCAUAGCUUUUAGAGAGAAGAAGAAAGGAAAAAAACAAAAAACAAAAACCACGAUAAUGGACCACUUAUAAACAGAAUUUAAGGUGGGAGAGAGGAUCAUUAAAACCUAGCUUUUCCGAAUUAGAAGCUGGAGAAUUUACAGUGAAGACCUUAGUAGCAGGGUCCAGUCUAAAUCAUGAGACCAACCGCAGCGCUCUCCCCUCCCCCACCCAACCCCUAAACGCUGCAGCUGCCAACCCAGCUCUUUAUCAGCCAUUUGGUCAACUUGUGCUAGACACCUACCCCCUGCCCUUUCCUGCCCACUCUAAUGAUCCUGGUUGAUACUCAAUUACAGCAGAAUUAAUUUUGUCUCUGGCUAAAUGUGGUCUUUAGGAAUGUAAAUGUAUUUCAAAACGAAUGCAUGGAGCAAUCGCAAAUUUGUCUCAUUUUCAUGCCAAGAUUUGACUUAGAAUAAAUCAUCACUUUUCCUCCUUUUAAAGCAAAAACCCUGUACUUGCAUAUCACUUCCCCAAAAAAGCAAGAGAAAACAGUAUUUUAACGGCUUUUAACUUGAGUCUUUGGUGCCAUCUUAAUAGAAGUUGGAUCCGCUCCAGCUUCAGCUAGCCUUUGGAGCUCAGGAGACACGCCAGCCGAGGCCCCACCCGGGUUCAGCCCAGCCCCGCCCCAGUUGGCCGCAGCCGCUGGAGACCUAGGCUAAGCGACUCGCCCGAGCAGCUGUGCAGCUGUCUGGGAGCCCAGGAAGUCACACCCGUCUCGCGCACUGAGCUGAAGCUCCAGCCCACGUGGCGAAUAGCGAACCCCCCGGCGCUGAAGGGAGUGCCUAGCCGGGCCCCUCCUCCAAACCAGGGUACUUGGACUAGAUGGCAGUUCUGUGUUGCAUGGCGUAUUUGAGCAUGACAAGAUGCCAGUGAGGUGUGGAGAAGCAGAGGAAUGAAAAGUGUCCUGUGCAUCCAGAAGACACACUGCCUCUCACUUUUCAUAAUGCUGGAUGGAACUGUGUGGCUAAUACAUAUUCAUAAGUCCAAGGCGAAUGUCUUAGAUAAAUGAACAAACAUCACAGCAUUGCUUGCUGGGCGGCUCGGCUAAUGCUUCAGAAUUAGUAAUGUGUUAUUUACAGAAGUGAAAUAUUUGCUUCCCUUGGCACCUUCUCCUACAUGUAAAUUACUGGCCCAUUUUAAAUUUUUGUGUGUAUUUAACUAUUUUUGGUAGUUAAAUAUGAUCCAGCAAUAUUUUAGUUUUAUAAGAUAUGAAUCUUAAAAAUUUUUAUUUUCUCAAAUGGAAAUCUUCACAUUGCAGAGAUAAUGACUUUGAAGUAGAUUUCCUGCACCACCCCCCAAGGCCCCUUCUUAUAUCCAUGUAUUUACUUGUAUUCCCACCAAUAAGGAGCACUUACCCAUGGGAUGCUAAUACUUUUUAAAACAAAUGGUUCUAUUUUCAGGACUUCACAGGCAAUGAGGCAACCUAUCUGUUAAUUGAGGAGGAGCUGACACUAUUAAAUUUGGUUCUAUAUGGAA
This is a long non-coding RNA of Mus musculus (house mouse), 6561 nucleotides long. RefSeq annotates it as predicted gene 4117. The transcript has 2 exons. The annotation marks the transcript as partial. Lineage: Eukaryota; Metazoa; Chordata; Mammalia; Rodentia; Muridae. The record is from RefSeq and is a predicted model, not a curated record.